This 69-nucleotide transfer RNA is filed under the name Opsarius bernatziki. RNAcentral describes it as "tRNA-Asp". It matches the Rfam family "tRNA". From Rfam's summary of the family: Transfer RNA (tRNA) molecules are approximately 80 nucleotides in length. Their secondary structure includes four short double-helical elements and three loops (D, anti-codon, and T loops). The record is from RNAcentral. Lineage: Eukaryota; Metazoa; Chordata; Actinopteri; Cypriniformes; Danionidae.
AAGACAUUAGUAAACAUAUUACACCACCUUGUCAAGGUAGAGUUGCAGGUUAAAAUCCUGCAUGUCUUA